GACGAACGCUGGCGGCGUGCUUAACACAUGCAAGUCGAACGGAAAGGCCCUGCUUGCAGGGUACUCGAGUGGCGAACGGGUGAGUAACACGUGGGUGAUCUGCCCUGCACUUCGGGAUAAGCCUGGGAAACUGGGUCUAAUACCGGAUAUGACCUUCCAUGUAGUGUGGGGGGUGGAAAGAUUUAUCGGUGUGGGAUGAGCCCGCGGCCUAUCAGCUUGUUGGUGGGGUAAUGGCCUACCAAGGCGUCGACGGGUAGCCGGCCUGAGAGGGUGGACGGCCACAUUGGGACUGAGAUACGGCCCAGACUCCUACGGGAGGCAGCAGUGGGGAAUAUUGCACAAUGGGCGGAAGCCUUAUGCAGCGACGCCGCGUGGGGGAUGACGGCCCUCGGGUUGUAAACCUCUUUCGACAGGGACGAAGCUUCGGUGACGGUACCUGUAUAAGAAGCACCGGCUAACUACGUG
This 465-nucleotide ribosomal RNA is filed under the name uncultured bacterium. RNAcentral's name for it is "partial 16S ribosomal RNA". It matches the Rfam family "Bacterial small subunit ribosomal RNA", at positions 28 to 507 of the family's 1533-position model. The record is from RNAcentral.